CUCCAGGUUGCUUAGGGAAGCCUCAGAGCUCAGGUGGCUGAGAAUGACAGUACACAUCAGGCGAUGGAGAUGUUUCUCUUUCUUCUGAUAAGCACUUAAAUGCUUACCAGGUUCCACUACCUGGGCAACAAAUGUCAUCCUUGCCUUUGGCUGUGGAUUGGUGCAUUUGAUCCUAUCAAUCCCUUGUUUUCAGCCUAAUCCAACUUCCCCAAAACAUGGGGAAAAGAAGAGGAGAAUAUCAGAAAGCUUUCAAAUUUGCAACUGCAAGACUGAUACACAUUUUGCAAGGAUCUGUCUGAUGUGUACAACAAACAUUGGAAUUAAGGCUUCUACAAUACUGGUAUGUGGUCAAGUCUAUGGCUGUGCAAUGCUGGACUUCCGCAAAGCAUCUCCAGCUUCCACUGUUACCCAACUUGUAAACCAGAAGAUGUGCUGAUGUAGGUGGAUAGCAGCUCCAAGAGUGGGGUGUGUGUGUGCUUCUGGCAUCCACGUGGCUCACCUUCUCAACCCUAGGAGCUUGGGAUGGCAGAAGGGGAGCUUCCUUCCAGGUGCUGGCACCGGCUCAGCUUCUCUGCCCUAGGAGCUUGGGAUGGUGGCAGGGGAGCUUCCUUCCAGGUGCUGGGACCACUCAGCUUCUCUGCCCCCAAGAAGCUUGCUUUUGAGAAACACUGAUCAUAGCAAAUAGCAGCACACAAUUUCUAAUUAAAAGGCCAAGAUGUCCAAGAAGUAACACCAGUGAAGUCAUUCAUUACCUAUAGAAAAACCUCUCAGAUACAAGUCUUGAGAGAGACAAAAAAAAGGACUAGUGAAAGCAGCUUCAAAAUGCAGGGAAGCAAAGUAAAAUGGAAAAAAAGGAACGCAAGUUUACUAAUACUGAAGGCAAAGUUUCAUCAUUUUAGAAUAUAAAGCAACUCAUUUGGAAUUUUUAAA
This 930-nucleotide long non-coding RNA is filed under the name Heterocephalus glaber (naked mole-rat). Its description in RNAcentral is "lncRNA (ENSHGLG00000045655.1)". The record is from RNAcentral. Lineage: Eukaryota; Metazoa; Chordata; Mammalia; Rodentia; Bathyergidae.